UUUAGGGAGACCUACACCCCUUACAUAUCGAAAAACACACAGUUAAAUAGAUAGUAAGUUGGUCUAACCUAGGUCGGUCGCAGACAUUUGCAAUUGUUAAAAGCUUUCAAACUAUGAUGAAGGUUCGUUUAGGGCUAUUAGCUCAGGUGGUUAGAGCGCACCCCUGAUAAGGGUGAGGUCCCUGGUUCGAGUCCAGGAUGGCCCA
RNAcentral lists this transfer RNA (205 nucleotides) under Nostoc sp. FI5-VF5. Its description in RNAcentral is "partial 16S-23S ribosomal RNA intergenic spacer". The stretch from base 132 to 205 matches the Rfam family "tRNA". The record is from RNAcentral. Lineage: Bacteria; Bacillati; Cyanobacteriota; Cyanophyceae; Nostocales; Nostocaceae.